CCAGGUGAGUAAAAAUUAAAAAGGCGCCUCUAGCCAGGGAACGGAUUCUCACUGGGUGCGGGGCCCUCUUAGGCAAGGGGCCCGAUUCGGGAGAAUUGGCGGAACUGGCCUAAAGCCGGCCCUGGUGGCCAGCAGUGGUGAA
This is a non-coding RNA of Chelonoidis abingdonii (Abingdon island giant tortoise), 142 nucleotides long. NCBI's taxonomy places the organism in Eukaryota, Metazoa, Chordata, Testudines, Testudinidae. The record is from RefSeq and is a predicted model, not a curated record.